Pan troglodytes (chimpanzee) is the source of this 455-nucleotide long non-coding RNA. RefSeq lists it as uncharacterized. The record is from RefSeq and is a predicted model, not a curated record. Lineage: Eukaryota; Metazoa; Chordata; Mammalia; Primates; Hominidae. The transcript is spliced from 3 exons.
GAAUCAAGGCCCUAACAUCCAGAACCUCAGCAGUCUCUCUGGCUGCCAUCCACAUCAUCUGCCCAGACAUGAAGAGAGCGGGACAGGACCACAGUGUGGCCAGCUUAUGACCCAGCUACAGCCUUGGGUCUGUACUCUCCCUGCAGUCAGAGGAUGGGGACACGUGGCACACUGCUGGCCUGAGCACAACAGGAGUCCGUUUCCUUGGGGACAUUUCUUGGAAAUAAAGAAAGUUCCGUUGCUCCUGCCUUCAGCUUGGCUGCCUACUCCACGUUAUACAAAUACACCUCCUCUGUGCAGCGCAAACGACCUCUACGCCAGUGGUGCUGAAGGAGGCCUUCGCUACUUGCAUCCAUCCUAUCAGCGUCCAGAGGAGUGAACACGUAGAUGUCUAUCACUGACUUCAUACCCUUCCCCCAACAAAAAAACCUUAAAAUCAUAAUUACAUCCUUCUC